Sus scrofa (pig) is the source of this 2481-nucleotide non-coding RNA. NCBI's taxonomy places the organism in Eukaryota, Metazoa, Chordata, Mammalia, Artiodactyla, Suidae. The record is from RefSeq and is a predicted model, not a curated record.
GGCACCGAAAGAGAAUCUGAUCCCGCCAAAGUGCUCCAAGAGGGAUCGGCAAGGGCUGUUUGAGUGGAUCGUGGAGCACAUCUCCCCAGGACCCGGGAGGCCGAGAGACAGAACACACACAGAUGGUUUCACGGAUGGCUGCUUCUUCUGGAAUGCUCUUUUUGCUCCUCUUCACCAGGUUAAUUCCGGGCGUCGUUCGGAUCCGGGGGCCUCUCACACUCGGAGGAGACUCCGAGCUCACGCGCUUGCUCAAAGGGGCCUGAGCCUCUGCAUUUCUAACCAGCCCCCAGUAAGGCUAGUCCUGCUGGUCCUCAGCCCACACGCUGGGGACCAGUGGCUCAGACACCUGGCCUCUGGGAGCACCUCUCUGUCUUCAGCCUGGAGGCAGCUGCCCGCCCUGUGUCCACAACGCACCCUCCCGCCCAGCCCACGCCACGUGUGUCUCCGACUGAUUUCAUCUCUUCCACCAUCGAUCCCAGGCACGCCCAGCUCAGAGCAGGAGCGUGGUAACCCUCGCAUCUUGGUUGAAUGAACGAAUCAGUUCAUGCAUUCAACAAACAAAAGUGAAUGCAGAGCUACGCCAGCCUUUGCCACGCCCAUGUCUACACCCUGGGGGAACCCAAACACUUCGAACAAGAGCCUUGUUUGGAGUCCUAAGAAGGUGAUGUGAACAAGCGGUGAGACGCUGGGCCAGCUUGGGUCAGCUUCAGAGCAGAGCAUCUGAACUGCACCAGCGGUUCUCCAAGUGGGGUCCGUGAGCAGUCGCCCCGCGUAGAAGGGACACUUGUUAGCAGUGCACACGCUCCCUCCGAGUCAGAGAUCUGAGGGGGCUGCCAUCUGUGUUUCCACGUCCUCCAGGGAUUCUGGGGCCCUUAAGUGCAAAGCCCCCAGGUCUAGACCAGUGACAGUGACCGUGGCUUUGUGCUGGAACCACCUAGGAGCUUUGAAAGCUCUGAUGCCUUUGCUGCUUGGGCUGCUGUUACAACACUUCUGACUCCAGAUGAGAGGGUUUCCCUCCUGACACCAAAUUGGUAGUGUCGUUUCCAACACCACGCCUCGCGCUCUCUGACGGUACCCAGAGCAAGUGCAGACGCCCCGGUGUAAGGGCUCAGUCCCCUACCCGCCCCCACUUCAGAAGCCAAUCGCAAGUCCCUGGGGGGUUCCUGAGACCCCCCUCCUCAGCUUGUAGGAUUUGCUGGAAUGAUUCAAACUCAGGGAAACACUGUACUUGGCAAUUCCAGUUUAUUCUAAAGGAUGCAUUGCUGAAACAGGCAACUGAAGCGAUACGCAGGUGUGGGCGAGCGCCCGGGGCAGCCCCUCCCAGCACCUGAGCCUCAUCGGGUAGGUGUUUUGACGGAGGCUUCAUGGCGUGAUCGUGAUUGGCUACAUCCCUACCGGUGGGGAUUCUCUCAGCCUCCAGCCCCUCUCCCCUUCCCAGAGGUCAGGGGGUGGGGCUAAAAGUUCCACGCUUUAAGGAAGCGGUUGGGUCCUGCGGCUGCCAGCACCAUCCUGAGGCUGCCAGCGGCCCACAGAGAGUCGCCACAUUGGCGUAAACUCAGGUACGAUCUAAAGGGUCUCAGAUAAAAGCGAAAAGAUGCUCCUCGAACCCAAUCACUCAGGAAAUUCCAAGGGUUUUAGAAGCCCCUGUGCCAGAAACCGGGGACAAAGACCCAGAAUGUAGCUCUGAGUUUGUGCUCUUUUGCAAUAGUCCCGCCCCCUUCCCCGUCCUGGGUGGGUGGGCUCUAUUCUGGCUCCUCAAGCUCCGUCGCCUUUUGCCUGCAAUGGGGGUGAGGGAGGGGCCGGCCAGUGUGUGGCCACGACCGCUCCACACAGCAGCGGGGAGGCUGUCACAGGUGGGAGAUGAGGGGCACCGCCUCUUUCUCCAGAACCUUGACCACGACCAGGGAGGCUGGGAGAGGACGGUGCCUGUGGCCACUGCUUGCGACCGGGUGCGGCGGGCUGAGCAGCCAGUUCCCUCAGACCAGCUUCAAGCCCUUUCUAGGGAGGCUCUCGCCUUCGUCACAGCGGACCCCAUGCGGGGACGGAUAGCACGGAGGAGCGUUGCCUUGGCAACGCAGGCUUAGGAGGGUGGCGCUGGUAACCAGGGCUGCUUUUGACCUUCACCGUCUCUCGGGCUGGUGGCUUUCUCAUCUCCCUGCUGUUCCGCUGGAGCCAUGCCCAAGCCUGCAAUGAGGCCAUCCUUAGGGGAGGCCUUUGGCCACCCUCUGUGUCACCCACCCUUUCAUCUUAGAGGGCAUCGCCAUGAAAUGCACUUCACCAGGAGGCACAGAGGAAUCCCGUGCCUGUUUGAAAGCACUCAACCAAAGCUGAGCCCCUGCUCGCCCUGGAUUCACGCUGUGGUUCCCACCCAGGGUCAUGCCUGCUGCUCACCCUAUAGCUCUAACCAGGCAAGCAAGGCCACCUCCGAGUUCCAGGUGGAUCUAAUGCAAAAGAUGGUAAAUACAGCAUUAGAAUCACGUC